This 5354-nucleotide long non-coding RNA is filed under the name Pelobates cultripes (western spadefoot toad). The record is from RNAcentral. Lineage: Eukaryota; Metazoa; Chordata; Amphibia; Anura; Pelobatidae.
AUAUAUAUAUGUACCUUAGUGUUAAUUCCUCUAUAAAAGAAAGUAUCACUCCGGAAAAAUCAUUUAUUGUGAGAAUUAGCACUGGGAUCAAAUCCCCAAAGGAAUAUUGAAUUCUUUCUUAUCAAUAAAUUGAUUUUUUUCAGCAUAGCUUAUGAACAUGCAUUAUGGCUUUUCAAUUGUCUGCAAACCAACCAACAUUUCAAAUGGACAAAGAGGGACCCUUUCAUUUUAGGGGUGUGAUUGGGGGUGUGGCCAGGAGUGGAGCUGUUCUGUGAAAUUUUAGGUGACUUACUAAUACUGUCAUAAUUAAUGCAACUAAAAUGCAGUUUAGAAAAAGAGCAAUGUAUCUUAUUUACACAGACUGAUUUCUAAACACUCUUAUUGUAGUCUAAAGACACAUUACUGUAAGUAAUAUUUCUAUGGAGCUCUGUUUUACACUCAAACACACACACAAUCCUAGAAAAGACAUUAAGAUAGAAAAGAGGGACAGAGGCAGUGGGCUUAAAAUAAGGCAUGUUCCUCCUAAAUAAGAACACUCGGGAGGCAUGUGUCUGUGCAGUUAGGCCAAGGAUCAUGUGCUGUUAAGUCCCUUGUGGAGCAUGAUGCUGUAUAUCUUAAAGGAACACUCCAAUCUCUAGAAAAACUACAGUUCACUGGGUGCCGAUCCCUGCCUCCAUUAUUUCCAGUAAAGAGCUGAAAGUUCCUAAGUAGGAUCUCUCUCAGCGAGUGAGCUAAGCCCUCAGUUUAGAAGUUUUCUGAAUGUUUAAAAUUCAUCCCUUGAUUGCACCAAAUGUAUAACUCUUCUGUGUUCUAGGAUCAUUGUAUUGUAAAACCUGCUACUAUAUGUAGUGAGGAAAAUGGCACCAUCUUUAAAGAAAUGAGGUGAAGUGCGUUACUGAUAUCUGGCACCCGUCAACGCUAUGAGAAUUCUAUAAAUGUUUACACUUUGUUACAUUUCAGUAGGUUCGUAUAACUUCCAUGUGGGCAGUUGUACUAUGUACAACUAUGUACUUUGUGGAACUUUACGCUGUUAUUAUAUCUUUACUGUAACCAAUCUCUUUUCAUGGGGUAUAAAUGGCUAGAACCUACGAUUGUUGACAAUAACAGUUACACAGUUGCCAAAGAUAGUGUGAAUUUAACUCUCCAAUAUGUAUGGUGAUUGUUUAGAUAAAAUCCUUACAUUUCUGAAUACUACUGUAUAUAUGUAACUAUGUGCUAUAGUUAUACAUACAAAUACAGUUAUGUAUAAACACUGCAAGGGCUCAUUAAAGUGUGUGUGUUGCACACAAAUAGGGUAUUCUUUGCACUCUCCUUGCAGUAUAACAAAGUUAAAUCCGCUUGGAUGCUACCCGCGUUGACAAUAUAGAUAUUAGGAUAAAGGGCGCACUAAUUCACUAAUGUGAAAGAAAAAAUUACACCUGUAAAACAAUUGAUGUUUUAACCCUAAACUGAUCGUUUCCAAGAUAUAUAGUAUCUAUAUUUAUAUACAGAUACACCGUGUAAACGAAUUGCAGGAAAAAUAUCAUUAUGCUCAAGGGUUUGUUUUUUACAAAUUUGAAUUACCAUUAACUCAAAUAAAUAUGCUUUCUUUGUGUAUGCGCAUAUAGCAUAUAGCAUAUACAUAUGGAUCUCUAUCCCAGCCUUUUAGAGUGCAGAGUGUGGUUGCCGUUUACUACAUAUAAAUAAUAAUAAUAAUCCGCUUGACCCUGCAAAGUGAAUAUGGCAAUUACCAAUUUCAAGCAUCUAUAGUGAAUACAUUUGAGUUCUGACUUUGAUAGCACUGAGUAGACUGAGCCAUUAAUUGGUUGGUGUUGUAUCAUUAUUCCCUUUUUACACAGUUAAUAUCUGAAUUCACCACGGUCCUUAAAGCAGAGAGCAUGUUGUUCUAACUAAUUUUUUUUGUUUUUUUUAAUCAGCUGUACUCUGUCUUAUUUUAUUAGAAAGCGUAUUAAUGUGGUUAGCAUUUUGACUGUUCUGUAUGGUGCUAAAUGUAAAGCUAACUAUAGUUAAUAUGAUGGUUUGUACUAAGGGCAAUUCUGGGGCACCAUUGAGCAAUCUAUAUGGAACCAGUGUGAUGUUCAGAUCUUAGAACAUUGCUGUUUAUAUAUUUACCCUUUAGCCUAUUUGUAGUCUGCUACAGUACACCUACUCUGAAAUUUGUGGUGUCAUAGCUGCUGAUUGGGGCUGUUCCAAGCUUGUUUAGUAGUCAUUUAACAAAACAACUUAUCUGUAUUUGUACUUCACUCGGCGUAUGAAAAUUAAUGAAUUCUUUUAAAGUGGAAUUCUUCACAGUUUUUUAAUGUUUACUUAUCCACUAUAUUUCAUAAAUAUGUUUACGAGGUCUGAACAUUUAAAUUAAACAAAGAAAGCUGCACAACAGUAUUUAUCUUCAUCCUCGAACUAGAUCCAUCUUGUCUUCCGGAGAAUCAUUGCUAUGAACUCUGCCUCUUUCUGUCUUUAGCAUAAUAUGUGAAGGUGGAGAAUAAAAAAACGAAAUAAUAUUUCUCCGUUAUCAUCUGUGCAUUGGCUGUGCCGAGACUAAAUUAAAUUGUGAUGUUAAUUGCUAAAUAUUUAAUAUAAAUAAAAAAUUGAGCUUCACACGAAAAGGGUAACUCAAGUUUCAGUGGUUUAUCAAGGUUUUAUUAUUAACAGAAGACAUUGUUGAUUGAUUGUGGUACGAACCCUAUGUUAACAAAGAAUCAAGUAUAAUGAAGCAUAUCUAAAAAAAAAAUUUUACAGGGGCAUGGUCACGUAGCUUUUAUUUACAUUCAGCACAAUAACACAUUAAUACUAUUUUCAUCUAGCCAAAUUAUUGAAAUUCGAUUUGCCACUUUUAACAUUUUAGUUUGGCAUUUUUACUUUCAUUUUAUUGCGAUGGCUUUGAGGUUACCGUCUUGGAAUUACAUCACAGUUUUCUAAACUUUAUUGACAUUGAUAGAAAAUGUACAGAAACCAUUUAUAUCUGAUAUGUUGAAUAGCUUCCAGCUUUCCUCCGUGCAGUAAUGAGUAAAAGGUUUUAGGAACUACUUAAUGAUGCUGCAUAUCUACUAUAACUAGACUUGUGCGUGGUGAAAAACUUCAGUUAGUCUGACUACAUUUGGACAGAAAAUAAUUUUGUUUUGGCUGCACCAAAUUAUGGUCAAUAUUUCCAUUUGGACAAAUGGAAUGCUGCAAUCUCCUGCAAAUCUUUCAAUGGUUAAGUAGUGUAGAUACAUCCCUUAUUUAGUGUCCUUAGAUGGGGUUGCCAUAGUUAAGUGCACGCAAUUAGGUGGCUAUUUACUAAACAUAACCGCUCCCUAAUUUACAGUGAUAUCCUUAAAUAUGGGAAUGCCCCAUAAAGGAACCAAUUUAAUUUACAAGAAUGAGCGAAGUAACGAAUUGCGCAUUGAAGAAUUUAGAAAUUAUUUUUGUCUAACUGUAACCAAGGGAAGCAAUGAAUUGCUAGAUAUUUAUUAUCUUUAUUAAUAGCACAAACUGCUGAACUAUAUAUACAGUAUCUUACAAAAGUGAGUACACCCCUCACAUUUUUGUAAAUAUUUUAUUAUAUCUUUUCAUGUGACAACACUGAAGAAAUGACACUCUGCUACAAUGUAAAGUAGUAAGUGUACAGCCUGUAUAACAGUGUAAAUUUGCUGUCCCCUCAAAAUAACUCAACACACAGCCAUUAAUGUCUAAACCAUUGGCAACAAAAGUGAGUGCACCCCUAAGUGGGAUUGUCCACAUUGAGCCCAAAGUGUCAAUAUUUUGUGUGGCCACCAUUAUUUUACAGCACUGCCUUAACCCUCAUGGGCAUGGAGUUCACCAGAGCUUCACUGGAGUCCUCUUUCACUCCUCCAUGAUGACAUCACGGAGCUGGUGGAUGUUAGAGACCUUGCGCUCCCCCACCUUCCGUUUGAAUAUGCCCCACAGAUACUCAAUAGUGUUUAGAUCUGGAGACAUGCUUGGCCAGUCCAUCACCUUUACCUUCAGCUUCUUUAGCAAGGCAGUGGUCAUCUUGUAGGUGUGUUUGAUGUAUUUAUCAUGUUGGAAUACUGCCCUGCAGCCCAGUGUCUGAAGGGAGGGGAUCAUGCUCUGCUUCACUAUGUCACAGUACAUGUUGGCAUUCAUGGUUCCCUCAAUGAACUGUAGCUUCCCAGUGCCGGCAGCACUCAUGCAGGCCCAGACAUUGACACUCCCAUCACCAUGCUUGACUGUAGGCAAGACACACUUGUCUUUGUACUCCUCACCUGGUUUCCGCCACACACGCUUGACACCAUCUGAACCAAAUAAGUUAAUCUUGGUCUCAUCGGACCAAAGGACAUGGUUCCAGUAAUCCAUGUCCUUAGUCUGCUUGUCUUCAGCAAACUGUUUGCAGGCUUUCCUGUGCAUCAUCUUUAGAUGAGGCUUUCUUCUGGGACGACAGCCAUGCAGACCAAUUUGAUGACCCCCCCACCCCUUCAACCUCUGCAGCAAUGCUGGCAACACUCAUGUCUAUUUCCCAAAGACAACCUCUGGAUAUGACGCUGAGCACGUGCACUGAACUUCUUUGGUUGACCAUGGCGAGUCCUGUUCUGAGUGGAACCUGUCCCGUGAAACUACUGUAUGGUCUUUCCCACCGUGCUGCAGCUCAGUUUCAGGGUCUUGGAAAUCUUCUUUUCAGAUCCUCAGAGAGUUCUUUUCCAUGCAGUGCCAUGUUGAACUUCCAGUGACCAGUAUGAGAGUGUGUGAGAGCAAUGACACCAAAUUUAACACACCUGCUCCCCAUUCACACCUGAGACCUUGUGACACUAACGAGUCACAUGACACCAGGGAGGGGAAAUAGCUUAUUGGGCGCAAUUUGGACAUUUCCAUUUAGGGGUGUACUCACUUUUGUUGCCAAUGGCUUAGACAAUUAAUGGUUGUGUGUUGAGUUAUUUUGAGGGGACAGCAAAUUUACAAUGUUAUACAGGCUGUACACUUACUACUUUACAUUGUAGUAGUGUCAUUUCUUCAGUGUGGUCACAUGAAAUGAUAUAAAAAAAAAAUAUGUACAAGAAUGUGAGGGGUUUACUCACUUUUGUGAGAUACUGUGUGUGUGUAUGUAUAUACAUAUAUAUAUACUCAGAUACUGUAUAUGCUAUUUUUAAAGUAUCAUAUGAUGUGUAGACAAUGUAAGAUGACUGUGGCAUGUGAAUAAUUCAUCUCUAUAACUUUGUAACAUCUCUGCUACUCCAAGAAAAGAAUUCAGAAUAUUUUUUGGGAAUUUGGAUAUAAUAUCACUUUAACUGCACAUAACUUGGAAUGCUACUGUAUUAAUACAAACUGCACUAUAUUAGAGAAAUAGUAAAAUAUAUAAAUAUAUAUAUAUAAAUCCAUUGAGGAUUGUAUAAAAAAAA